RNAcentral lists this ribosomal RNA (253 nucleotides) under uncultured bacterium. RNAcentral describes it as "partial 16S ribosomal RNA". It matches the Rfam family "Bacterial small subunit ribosomal RNA", at positions 524 to 776 of the family's 1533-position model. The record is from RNAcentral.
UACGGAGGGGGCAAACGUUGUUCGGAAUCACUGGGCGUAAAGGGUGCGUAGGCGGUUCAGUAAGUCUUGUGUGAAAUCUCUCCGCUCACCGGAGAAACUGCACUGGAAACUGCUGGGCUCGAGAGUGGAAGAGGCAGGUGGAAUUCCAGGUGUAGCGGUGGAAUGCGUAGAUAUCUGGAAGAACACUCGUGGCGAAGGCGGCCUGCUGGUCCAUUUCUGACGCUGAGGCACGAAAGCCAGGGGAGCAAACGGG